AAUAAAUCUUAAUUUAAUUUUAAACUGCAAAUUUAAAAAUGAAUAAUUUUU
Molecule: transfer RNA, 51 nt
Filed under: Amblyomma testudinarium
Lineage: Eukaryota; Metazoa; Arthropoda; Arachnida; Ixodida; Ixodidae
Description: tRNA-Cys
Source: RNAcentral